GGAAGCAGGGGCUGGGGGCGGAGUGAGGCCUCGCCCUGGAAAUGCUGUUGGAAGCUCGGUUUCAGAGUUUGUUUAGAUGCAUUCGUCCGUAUGAAGGCGCUUUUGAGCUUAAAAAUGAAACUUGCCAGAUGAGACAUUUCUCAGUCAUGACUUCUGAACACUUUACAGCCUUAGCGUACUCCUAAGACACAGUCUUCUAAGAUCCAAGGACAUCAUCUUACCUGUCUUUUACCCUUUUUUGGAAGCAUCUAAAGAAAAACUGGGUUUUAUGAAGGUAUAUGAAGAUAUCUUCUGAUAUAUGAAGAAUUGACAGGUAUGUAAAAGCCCUCUGUUAGAUUUUCCAUCCAAGUCUGCUUUGUUCACAAACUGCAUAC
RNAcentral lists this long non-coding RNA (374 nucleotides) under Accipiter nisus (Eurasian sparrowhawk). RNAcentral's name for it is "lncRNA (ENSANIG00000014303.1)". The record is from RNAcentral. Lineage: Eukaryota; Metazoa; Chordata; Aves; Accipitriformes; Accipitridae.